GCUAAACGCGAAGAACCUUACCAGGCCUUGACAUGUCCUCUAUGAGAUCCAGAGACGGAUCUCUUCACUUCGGGUGGGAGGAACACAGGUGCUGCAUGGCUGUCGUCAGCUCGUGUCGUGAGAUGUUGGGUUAAGUCCCGCAACGAGCGCAACCCUCAUCCUUAGUUGCCAUCAUUAAGUUGGGAACUCUAAGGAAACUGCCGGUGACAAGCCGGAGGAAGGUGGGGAUGACGUCAAGUCUUCAUGGCCCUUACGGCCUGGGCUACACACGUGCUACAAUGGCAGUGACAAUGGGACGCUACCUCGCGAGGGGAUGCUAAUCUCAAAAAGCUGCCUCAGUUCGGAUUGUACUCUGCAACUCGAGUGCAUGAAGUUGGAAUCGCUAGUAAUCGCGCAUCAGCAUGGCGCGGUGAAUACGUUCCCGGGUCUUGUACACACCG
This 440-nucleotide ribosomal RNA is filed under the name uncultured bacterium. RNAcentral's name for it is "bacterial SSU rRNA". It matches the Rfam family "Bacterial small subunit ribosomal RNA", at positions 954 to 1392 of the family's 1533-position model. The record is from RNAcentral.